Molecule: RNA transcript, 1578 nt
Organism: Scophthalmus maximus (turbot)
Lineage: Eukaryota; Metazoa; Chordata; Actinopteri; Pleuronectiformes; Scophthalmidae
Gene: pemt
Gene name: phosphatidylethanolamine N-methyltransferase
Exons: 8
Source: RefSeq, a predicted model, not a curated record
AGUUAGAGGGUUGCGUUGACAUGUGUAGCUCUCCGCGGACACUGCGCCCUGCUUGCAGCAAAAAUUAAGAACUUUGCACUCGACGUUGCGCAAAGUUCGCUGCCCCACGCAGAUAAAGAUGAACUGAGUUCACUCGGUGUGUGUGUGUGUGUGUGUGUAUAUGUAUAUGAGCGACUGCGCCGCCCCUGCCGCCGUGCGGAACAAUAAUCCUGCGGGGGUUCGUCACACUGCGCCGCUGGACUGCUGCGGAGGACUCAACAACGUCGAUUAUUCCAAGAUGGACCUGACGCUAAUGGAGGAACUCCUGAAGCGCCUUGCCUUUCAUGACCACAGCUUUUGUGUCGCCGUGAUUACCAUCAUUUUGAACCCUCUCUUCUGGAAUGUGGUGGCCAGAUGGGAACAUCGUACUCGGAGAAUCUCCAGGCUCUUUGGCAGCCCUUACUUGGCCUGUUACUGCCUGGGCUUCGUCAUCGUAAUGCUCAACGUCUACCGUAGCCACAGUAUGACUGUGGCGAUGAAGGCCCAGGCCAGGUGGGAUGUGAUGGACACCACGGGUAUCUUCUAUGCUGGGAUAGCUCUCAUCGCGCUGGGCACUCUGCUGGUUGUCAGUAGCUUCCUGGCUCUGGGAUAUACUGGGACAUUCCUAGGCGAUUAUUUUGGCAUCCUGAUGGAUGAAAAGGUGACAGGAUUCCCCUUCAACGUCGUAGAAAACCCGAUGUACUGGGGCAGCACAGCCAACUACCUCGGCCUGGCACUCAUUGGCGCCAGUCCUGUUGGACUCGUCCUGACUGCCAUCGUAGCCGUGGUGUACAAGGUGGCAUUGAGAUUCGAGGGAUCGACUUGAAGCUGAAGUUUGCAGAAAUGUCUGCACAGGAUUUCGACAGACUGACCCCGACAACAGCUGAAGAAGAUCUCGGAUCAAUGUACAACCGUUCACUGAGCAGAUCUAUCAGGAGAGGAGUCGGCGCAGCAAGCGUGAAUAAUGGCCUCCCAGACGCUUCCUGCUCCCGGUGUCUGGCCGAGGAUUCCCCCAUCCUGUCACGUGGACUGACGGGUCCUUCCCCGGCAGCCUGGAUCACCGGUCCGCCGCCGAGAGCGGACGCGGAGGGAAUGUUCCCACCGCAGCCCUGUCGGGCUGAGCAUAAACGUUCAGCAAGAAAACCCAAUAACUGUAUUUGUUCAAAUCUUGAGCCAGUCUUCUGUGUACACCACGUGUAGAAUAGGAACCCACCCACCUUAACAGAGACUAUACACAAGUCUACGUCUGAUCUUUUACAUUUAGAGUCGCUGGACAGACGUCGUGGUGCAGGUGGACCGGACCGUCUACCGACCUCCGCCUCCAAAUCUAACAAGCAGUGUUCAUCGGUGUUACAUGUUCACCUACUUCUCCGCAGCAUUAGGAAUCAAAAAGAAAUUGUUUUUUGCUCAUGAGUAUAUGUUGAGCCGAGCUGUGAUCUUGAAACUAUUCCUUACUGUAUUAUUCCAAGUGUUAUGUGUUGUAUUACUAUGUGGACACAAAACAGCAUUUUGCAGUCACUGUUAUUUUUGACAUAAAAAGUGUAAGUGGCUCCAUUUCAA